UUACUAAGUUUUCUACCACUAAAGGUUUUUUUAAUGCGUAAGAUCUUUUAUUGGACUGUACAAGUAUUGGUACUUGGUCAAUUGAGAUCGAUCUUGAUGGUCUCGAUAAAUUGGCACUUAGAACCGAAUUGGGUUCCUCAGUCUGUUGAAGUCUCAAUAUUGGGAUACGUCCCAAUACUGAUAUUGGUUCAUUUAACCCCGUGGA
Molecule: long non-coding RNA, 205 nt
Filed under: Physcomitrium patens
Lineage: Eukaryota; Viridiplantae; Streptophyta; Bryopsida; Funariales; Funariaceae
Description: long non-coding RNA (PPAT_LNC001952)
Source: RNAcentral